CUCAUGCCAACCCAUCUUCUCUUCUUCUCCAAAACCCACGACCAUAAAACCCACAAAACCUACCCACAGCCCCCAUUGCUUGGAGGAAGCUAUUGCCGGAAAAAGCUUAUGGAAGUCAUGCCGAAGAAGCCCCAUGGAAGCUAUGGUCAGUAAAGCCGAAGCCACUUCCAAGAAACUCCCGUGAAAAUCAUCUCUCUAGAUUUUGGAGUUAUUCUUUCAACACAAAUUGAAAACGCCCAAGAGAUGCUAAUAGCUGCAGAACAAAAGUUUACAACUGCAACUGAAGAACUCUCAAAUAUGAAAGAGGAACUCUCACAUGUGAAAGAAACAUUUGAAGAAAGGUUGAUAGAAGUUCAAAGGAAGACACGAGAAGAAGUGAAAGAAGAGUUUGAAGAAAAAAUGAUGGAAAUGUAAAGAAAAAUGCAAGCACAAAUUCAAGAACAAAUGAUGCAACAAUUUUAGCAAAAGCAGUAGAAAUUUGAAGAUUUUGCUACAUCUUUAUAUGAUAGAUUCUCUUAACUUUUUUGAAAAUUAUGCUACUUAUUUAUAUGAUAGAUUCUCCUAACUUUUUUUUGCUUUCUAUGACUAUUAUGUAAUGUUUGGUUGAUUUGUUAUAUUAUGUUAGAAUGUGAAACUAAAUUUGAAUCUC
This is a long non-coding RNA of Vitis vinifera (wine grape), 649 nucleotides long. RefSeq lists it as uncharacterized. The record is from RefSeq and is a predicted model, not a curated record. Lineage: Eukaryota; Viridiplantae; Streptophyta; Magnoliopsida; Vitales; Vitaceae. The transcript is spliced from 2 exons.